CACGUAGGGUGCGAGCGUUGUCCGGAAUUAUUGGGCGUAAAGAGCUCGUAGGCGGUGUGUCGCGUCGGCCGUGAAAACCUGCAGCUUAACUGAGGGCUUGCGGUCGAUACGGGCAUCACUGGAGUUCGGCAGGGGAGACUGGAAUUCCUGGUGUAGCGGUGAAAUGCGCAGAUAUCAGGAGGAACACCGGUGGCGAAGGCGGUUCUCUGGGCAUUACCUGACGCUGAGGAGCGAAAGUGUGGGGAGCGAACAGG
This 254-nucleotide ribosomal RNA is filed under the name uncultured bacterium. RNAcentral describes it as "partial 16S ribosomal RNA". It matches the Rfam family "Bacterial small subunit ribosomal RNA", at positions 524 to 776 of the family's 1533-position model. The record is from RNAcentral.